Molecule: non-coding RNA, 233 nt
Organism: Paramuricea clavata
Lineage: Eukaryota; Metazoa; Cnidaria; Anthozoa; Malacalcyonacea; Plexauridae
Source: the annotation of a GenBank genome assembly
GACUUUUCAUCGUAAGAUUCCGAACUUUGUUCCGAACUUCGCAAAUUCGUUGCCAAGUUCAAAAGUUCAUAAUGAAAUUCACAAACAGGUUUGUAAACAAAGAGCCUCUGAUUGGCUAUUAAAUCAAACCAGCCAAUCAAAUGCCCAGUUUACAAACCUGUUUUUGAAUUUCAUUAUGAACUUUUGAACUUGGCAACAAAUUUGGGAAGUUCGGAAUUUUACAAUGAAAAGUC